Molecule: ribosomal RNA, 2200 nt
Filed under: Escherichia coli O127:H6 str. E2348/69 substr. UMD753
Lineage: Bacteria; Pseudomonadati; Pseudomonadota; Gammaproteobacteria; Enterobacterales; Enterobacteriaceae
Description: bacterial LSU rRNA
Rfam family: Bacterial large subunit ribosomal RNA
Source: RNAcentral
UUAAGCGACUAAGCGUACACGGUGGAUGCCCUGGCAGUCAGAGGCGAUGAAGGACGUGCUAAUCUGCGAUAAGCGUCGGUGAGGUGAUAUGAACCGUUAUAACCGGCGAUUUCCGAAUGGGGAAACCCAGUGUGUUUCGACACACUAUCAUUAACUGAAUCCAUAGGUUAAUGAGGCGAACCGGGGGAACUGAAACAUCUAAGUACCCCGAGGAAAAGAAAUCAACCGAGAUUCCCCCAGUAGCGGCGAGCGAACGGGGAGGAGCCCAGAGCCUGAAUCAGUGUGUGUGUUAGUGGAAGCGUCUGGAAAGGCGCGCGAUACAGGGUGACAGCCCCGUACACAAAAAUGCACAUAUUGUGAGCUCGAUGAGUAGGGCGGGACACGUGGUAUCCUGUCUGAAUAUGGGGGGACCAUCCUCCAAGGCUAAAUACUCCUGACUGACCGAUAGUGAACCAGUACCGUGAGGGAAAGGCGAAAAGAACCCCGGCGAGGGGAGUGAAAAAGAACCUGAAACCGUGUACGUACAAGCAGUGGGAGCCUCUUAAUGGGGUGACUGCGUACCUUUUGUAUAAUGGGUCAGCGACUUAUAUUCUGUAGCAAGGUUAACCGAAUAGGGGAGCCGAAGGGAAACCGAGUCUUAACUGGGCGUUAAGUUGCAGGGUAUAGACCCGAAACCCGGUGAUCUAGCCAUGGGCAGGUUGAAGGUUGGGUAACACUAACUGGAGGACCGAACCGACUAAUGUUGAAAAAUUAGCGGAUGACUUGUGGCUGGGGGUGAAAGGCCAAUCAAACCGGGAGAUAGCUGGUUCUCCCCGAAAGCUAUUUAGGUAGCGCCUCGUGAAUUCAUCUCCGGGGGUAGAGCACUGUUUCGGCAAGGGGGUCAUCCCGACUUACCAACCCGAUGCAAACUGCGAAUACCGGAGAAUGUUAUCACGGGAGACACACGGCGGGUGCUAACGUCCGUCGUGAAGAGGGAAACAACCCAGACCGCCAGCUAAGGUCCCAAAGUCAUGGUUAAGUGGGAAACGAUGUGGGAAGGCCCAGACAGCCAGGAUGUUGGCUUAGAAGCAGCCAUCAUUUAAAGAAAGCGUAAUAGCUCACUGGUCGAGUCGGCCUGCGCGGAAGAUGUAACGGGGCUAAACCAUGCACCGAAGCUGCGGCAGCGACACUAUGUGUUGUUGGGUAGGGGAGCGUUCUGUAAGCCUGUGAAGGUGGCCUGUGAGGGUUGCUGGAGGUAUCAGAAGUGCGAAUGCUGACAUAAGUAACGAUAAAGCGGGUGAAAAGCCCGCUCGCCGGAAGACCAAGGGUUCCUGUCCAACGUUAAUCGGGGCAGGGUGAGUCGACCCCUAAGGCGAGGCCGAAAGGCGUAGUCGAUGGGAAACAGGUUAAUAUUCCUGUACUUGGUGUUACUGCGAAGGGGGGACGGAGAAGGCUAUGUUGGCCGGGCGACGGUUGUCCCGGUUUAAGCGUGUAGGCUGGUUUUCCAGGCAAAUCCGGAAAACCAAGGCUGAGGCGUGAUGACGAGGCACUACGGUGCUGAAGCGACAAAUGCCCUGCUUCCAGGAAAAGCCUCUAAGCAUCAGGUAACAUCAAAUCGUACCCCAAACCGACACAGGUGGUCAGGUAGAGAAUACCAAGGCGCUUGAGAGAACUCGGGUGAAGGAACUAGGCAAAAUGGUGCCGUAACUUCGGGAGAAGGCACGCUGAUAUGUAGGUGAAGCGACUUGCUCGUGGAGCUGAAAUCAGUCGAAGAUACCAGCUGGCUGCAACUGUUUAUUAAAAACACAGCACUGUGCAAACACGAAAGUGGACGUAUACGGUGUGACGCCUGCCCGGUGCCGGAAGGUUAAUUGAUGGGGUUAGCGGUAACGCGAAGCUCUUGAUCGAAGCCCCGGUAAACGGCGGCCGUAACUAUAACGGUCCUAAGGUAGCGAAAUUCCUUGUCGGGUAAGUUCCGACCUGCACGAAUGGCGUAAUGAUGGCCAGGCUGUCUCCACCCGAGACUCAGUGAAAUUGAACUCGCUGUGAAGAUGCAGUGUACCCGCGGCAAGACGGAAAGACCCCGUGAACCUUUACUAUAGCUUGACACUGAACAUUGAGCCUUGAUGUGUAGGAUAGGUGGGAGGCUUUGAAGUGUGGACGCCAGUCUGCAUGGAGCCGGCCUUGAAAUACCACCCUUUAAUGUUUGAUGUUCUAACGU